Molecule: ribosomal RNA, 497 nt
Filed under: uncultured bacterium
Lineage: Bacteria
Description: partial 16S ribosomal RNA
Rfam family: Bacterial small subunit ribosomal RNA
Source: RNAcentral
GACGAACGCUGGCGGCGUGCCUAAUACAUGCAAGUCGAACGCUGAAGAGAGGAGCUUGCUCUUCUUGGAUGAGUUGCGAACGGGUGAGUAACGCGUAGGUAACCUGCCUUGUAGCGGGGGAUAACUAUUGGAAACGAUAGCUAAUACCGCAUAACAAUGGAUGACACAUGUCAUUUAUUUGAAAGGGGCAAUUGCUCCACUACAAGAUGGACCUGCGUUGUAUUAGCUAGUAGGUGAGGUAAUGGCUCACCUAGGCGACGAUACAUAGCCGACCUGAGAGGGUGAUCGGCCACACUGGGACUGAGACACGGCCCAGACUCCUACGGGAGGCAGCAGUAGGGAAUCUUCGGCAAUGGGGGCAACCCUGACCGAGCAACGCCGCGUGAGUGAAGAAGGUUUUCGGAUCGUAAAGCUCUGUUGUAAGUCAAGAACGGGUGUGAGAGUGGAAAGUUCACACUAUGACGGUAGCUUACCAGAAAGGGACGGCUAACUACGUG